AGUGAACGCUGGCGGUAGGCCUAACACAUGCAAGUCGAACGGCAGCACAGUAAGAGCUUGCUCUUACGGGUGGCGAGUGGCGGACGGGUGAGGAAUACAUCGGAAUCUACUUUUUCGUGGGGGAUAACGUAGGGAAACUUACGCUAAUACCGCAUACGACCUACGGGUGAAAGCAGGGGAUCUUCGGACCUUGCGCGAUUGAAUGAGCCGAUGUCGGAUUAGCUAGUUGGCGGGGUAAAGGCCCACCAAGGCGACGAUCCGUAGCUGGUCUGAGAGGAUGAUCAGCCACACUGGAACUGAGACACGGUCCAGACUCCUACGGGAGGCAGCAGUGGGGAAUAUUGGACAAUGGGCGCGAGCCUGAUCCAGCCAUACCGCGUGGGUGAAGAAGGCCUUCGGGUUGUAAAGCCCUUUUGUUGGGAAAGAAAAGCAGCAGGUUAAUACCCCGCUGUUCUGACGGUACCCAAAGAAGAAGCACCGGCUAACUUCGUG
RNAcentral lists this ribosomal RNA (492 nucleotides) under uncultured bacterium. RNAcentral describes it as "partial 16S ribosomal RNA". It matches the Rfam family "Bacterial small subunit ribosomal RNA", at positions 29 to 507 of the family's 1533-position model. The record is from RNAcentral.